This 1027-nucleotide long non-coding RNA is filed under the name Fragaria vesca (wild strawberry). Its description in RNAcentral is "long non-coding RNA (FVES_LNC000162)". Lineage: Eukaryota; Viridiplantae; Streptophyta; Magnoliopsida; Rosales; Rosaceae. The record is from RNAcentral.
CUAGAAGGAGAAUAUGAUGGUGAUGUGGGUGAAUACGAUGGUGAUGUGGGGCUGCGACAAAAGAUUGAAAAGUUAAGCACAUAAUAAUUAUAAUGAAUUGGAAAGCUUAGAUGCAGAAAGACCAGUCAUCAAUCGACUAAGAAAAAAUUCAACUCAUCAAUACUUCGCAUUCUUUGAGAUGCCACAAAUGAACCCGACGGAAGUGUGCAAGAAGCUCACCUGUAAUUUGGAGAGGUAGGACUAUAUGGGCUAGCUGGUGACAAUCUUGGACUGCUCGGAGAGUAGGCUACCGAUGGGCUAUAUUUUGCAGAAGGAGGAUUAUAACUCGGAGAGGUAGGGCUAUAACUAGGAGAAGUUGGACUAUAACUCGGGGAAGUAGGGCUGUAACCCGGUGAAGUUGGGCUGUAGGCAGGUGAAGUUGGGCUGUAGGAUGGGGAUGUGGGGCUGUAGGAGGGGGAUGUGGGGCUGUAUGAAGGAGAUGUUGGGCUGUAGGAGGGGGAAGUGGGGCUGUAUGAAGGAGAUGUUGGGCUGUAUGAUGGUGAAGUUGGACUGUAUGCAGGGGAAGUGGGGCUGUACGCAGGGGAAGUGGGACUGUAAGCGGGGGAAGUCGGGCUGUAGCUUGGAGAGGUCGGGCUGUAGCUUGGAGAAGUCGGGCUGUAGCUUGGAGAGGUCGGACUGUAGCUUGGAGAGGUAGGUGAGUAAGAGGGGCUCGUAGGAGAAUAUGCUGGACUGGUUGGACUAUAACCUGGAGAGCUUGGACUAUAGGUUGGAGAAGUGGGACUAUAACCAGGGGAGGUGGGGCUGUAACCCGGCGAGGUGGGACUAUAACCAGGGGACGUGGGACUGUAUCCAGGGGAGGACGGACUGUAUCCAGGGGAGGAUGGGCUGUAACCCGGAGAUGAAGCAGGAGAGAAUGCCAUUCCACCGACAUAGGGAGAAAACUGAGCAUCUGAGAUGGGAGACAUUCGCAUAUUCGGGCUCAGCAAAUAAUUAGGUGACAUCAUUCCAUCACGGAAGGGAGUUCCCG